ACGGCGAGUGAAGCGGCAAGAGCUCAAAUUUGAAAGCUGGCCCCUUCGGGGUCCGCGUUGUAAUUUGCAGAGGAUGCUUCGGGAGCGGUCCCCAUCUAAGUGCCCUGGAACGGGCCGUCAUAGAGGGUGAGAAUCCCGUCUGGGAUGGGGUGCCCGCGCCCGUGUGAAGCUCCUUCGACGAGUCGAGUUGUUUGGGAAUGCAGCUCUAAAUGGGUGGUAAAUUUCAUCUAAAGCUAAAUACUGGCCGGAGACCGAUAGCGCACAAGUAGAGUGAUCGAAAGAUGAAAAGCACUUUGAAAAGAGAGUUAAACAGCACGUGAAAUUGUUGAAAGGGAAGCGCUUGCGACCAGACUCGCUCGCGGGGUUCAGCCGGCCUUCGGGCCGGUGUACUUCCCCGCGGGCGGGCCAGCGUCGGUUUGGGCGGCCGGUCAAAGGCCCUCGGAAUGUAACGCCCCCCGGGGCGUCUUAUAGCCGAGGGUGCCAUGCGGCCAGCCCGGACCGAGGAACGCGCUUCGGCUCGGACGCUGGCAUAAUGGUCGUAAGCGACCCG
RNAcentral lists this ribosomal RNA (550 nucleotides) under Penicillium sp. R43. RNAcentral describes it as "LSU rRNA". It matches the Rfam family "Eukaryotic large subunit ribosomal RNA", at positions 86 to 651 of the family's 3401-position model. Lineage: Eukaryota; Fungi; Ascomycota; Eurotiomycetes; Eurotiales; Aspergillaceae. The record is from RNAcentral.